RNAcentral lists this ribosomal RNA (253 nucleotides) under uncultured bacterium. Its description in RNAcentral is "partial 16S ribosomal RNA". It matches the Rfam family "Bacterial small subunit ribosomal RNA", at positions 524 to 776 of the family's 1533-position model. The record is from RNAcentral.
UACAGAGGUGGCAAGCGUUGUUCGGAAUUACUGGGCGUAAAGGGCGCGUAGGCGGCCAUCUAAGUCAGACGUGAAAUCCCCCGGCUUAACCUGGGAACUGCGUCUGAUACUGGAAGGCUUGAGUAUGGGAGAGGGAUGUAGAAUUCCAGGUGUAGCGGUGAAAUGCGUAGAUAUUGGGAGGAACACCGGUGGCGAAGGCGGCAUCCUGGACCGGCAUUGACGCUGAGGAGCGAAAGCCAGGGGAGCAAACGGG